This is a long non-coding RNA of Phyllopteryx taeniolatus (common seadragon), 8792 nucleotides long. RefSeq lists it as uncharacterized. The record is from RefSeq and is a predicted model, not a curated record. The transcript is spliced from 3 exons. Lineage: Eukaryota; Metazoa; Chordata; Actinopteri; Syngnathiformes; Syngnathidae.
CGGCAUUCUCCACCAUCAGCAUUCCCUGAUAUUGGAAUGCUCCAAAUUAGGACGGUUUGGCAUUUGCAGAGGUCUGCCGUCCCACCUUUCGAGUUUGCUCUGAGUUAGCAGGAUUGCUGAAAGAAGACGGCAGGGUUUUCCACAAAGGGAGGAGGCCUUUUGAAAGCUACCUUGUCGUCAAUGGAAAACAAAUGGCUCUUUCAUUCGGAAAGGAGCGAGGUGGAAUAUUACUGCAACAACCGAGUGUGUGAGAGCGUUUCAGCGGUGUGUGAGAGCGAACAUUUUUUUAAGUUGUGAGUGUAGCAAAAACACUUUCAGUAGUGUGCACAGGAGCGUUUCAGUUGUUUGUGUGUGAGAGCAUUUCAGUAGCGCAUGUGAGAGCAUUUCAGUUAUGAGUGUGAGAGUAUUUCAGUAUUUUCUGUUGGAGCAUUUCAGUCAUGUGUGCAGUGUUGCCACAGUUACCUUGAAAAAGUAACUUAGUUACUUUACUGAUUACUUGAUUUCAAAAGUAACUAAGUUAGAAAAAAGUAACGUUUUAGUUACUUUCAGCAGCUGCCAAGUGGCAGUAAUAUUACUUAUCCACAGUAUAAAAAAAGCAUUAGCUUAACCGUACCCAUUACUUGGUAAUGUACACCACACAAGUUACAGAAUCAUGUCAUCAACAUGAACCAAUAACUUAAAUUGUAAGCAAGUUUUUUUUAACAUGCACUGCGUAGAAGUGGUUGUACGAGAACAUUUAUUAUAGUCAUUGUUCAAUCAAAUUGUAUUUAUAUAGCACUUUACAUGCAUAAAAAAAUGCAACCAAAAGUGCUUCUCUGAGAUAAACAUGACGAGACACUGGAAUUAAACUUAAAAAGACUAAAAAAGACAAUAGGUCAGUAUAAAAACUGAAGGACAAUAAGAAAUACAAUAAAAUGACAAAUGAAAUAAAAUGUCUUCUUAAGUGUACCGACAAGUGCCGCGAUGUUGGCAUGUGUUGUAUAAUGGCGCUGUUGGGCAGAAUCCUCGCGUUUCCAAAAAAAAAAAUACUUGGAGUUACCAAACAUUGCAUCAUUAACAUUAGUAUUAUACCUUGUAUUGCAAUCAUAUACCAUUGUGCACCAAGAUCAACACAGCACCACCCCUAAAUCAUGUUCAAUUGCUAGUUGAAUACACUACAAAAAUUGCUAAUUUAUACCCUCAAGGCUGACCAUUUCCUUCUGCACCAAAGCAUUCCAGCCAUCCUUUUUAGCAAAACAGGCUUACUUAAAUGUAUCUAACCUAUUGUCACUCGUUAUUUUCUAAAAAAAAACAAAAAAAACAUCCAGACUUUAAGUCUUGAGGCGACAUAAUGCCGCACGGCUCCACUUUAGUGAGGAAGAGGCGGACUUUUACUUCUCAGACAGUUCAAGUGUCCAAGAGAGUUAAGCAAUUUGUUCUCAAACUAUUUUCAACACUUUAAAUUGGUUAAUAAUGCAUGAAAUUAACACACGACGUUGGGACAGACCAAUCGUAUCGAUUAGAGAAAACAUGAAAUUGGCCACAUUUUAACAUACUGGGUGUCUGCCCGACAAUGACGAUAAUAAAGUUCUUGUCAUUGUACAACUUGUAUAACAGUGCAAAUUUACUCCCUCCUCAAUAUAAUCUAAUAAUAACCCAACACAUUAACGUCUAAACCGAUAGCAGCAAAAGGGAAUACACCUCUAAGUGAAACAUAAAAAAAUUUACUUACUCAGAUAUUCAUAUUUUCAAAUGAUGUCUUUUUUUGGGAGGGUACACCCUGCAUUAUUUAUAAUCAGUUAAGGAUAUAACACACAAAUGCAGUAAGUACUGGAUCAGUGUGCGUAUGCGUGUGUGUGAUUGUAAAAAUGAGCGUUGUGAGUCACGUUUGUUGGUUCUUGCAUGACACGGGCGCUGACUCAUCGCUGGAGCCGGGCCGGUGUUGAGGCUCACACUUGUCAGGGAACGAGGAAACACACUAGGACGCAGGAACAGGAACGAGGUCAGCUGUAAGUGGUGAACACCGCCUUUACCCUCAUGAGGAUAAAUGCGUGCAGACUGUUUGCUUUUCUUAAUGGCAACUGCUUUCAAAUCACUCUGUUCCAGUCACAAUUCCCAACAGAUCUUAUUUAAACUUCAUUUUAUUAUGAAUUGGUGUUAAUGGAAGAACCCUAUUGAUUUUUAGGCAGGGUCUGGCAAGAUGGUGGAGGUAUUAGAAGGCAAACCAGAGCUAUGUUAGUUUAAAAUUUCUGAUGAUUUUGAUUUCAAUCAGUUGCGAUACUUUAAACAAUCUUCUUAAACACUUUCAGGGGUCAUUUAUUCUAUGCCAAACCGAGAACCCUGCUGACUUUUAAAAUGACUGAUUUUAGAAAGUGUUUUCACUCAGUGUUUGACACUAAUGCAUGUCCAUACUACACGCGCACACACACACAAAUGUAGAUGGACACGUGCAUGCGUACAUGAGCACAGGUACAUGCCACACACACACUCACACACGCACACUGACUGUUGAUGUCGUUGUUUGUUGAUUUCCCAGCAUCCCCUUGCCGCCUCUUUCAUUUCCUUUCCAGCGGCAGCGCAGCACCGUGACGCCAAUCGCCAAGGAGACGGCAAGCAAACUGAGCGCUUACUGCAAAUCACACGCACUCACAACAAAAAAACUCAACCGAGGGACAUUUAACAAACAUACACCUACACACACACACACACGCACACACACAAACACUAGACACACAUGGACAGAAAUGUACAAAGACACACACAUGCACAGGUAUAAAGACACACAUACACGCAUAGCCUAUUAUAGGCAUACACAGACACACACAUACACAGACAUGUAUAUACUUGUACACACACACACACCAAUGAUGGACCCAUAUAGGCUCACACACACGCAUGGAUACAUACCAGACAUACACGCUCACAAGCACACACAAACAUCUACAUAGACACACCACAUAGACACACAUGCACAUAUGGACAGAUGCACGUACGCACGCACACACAAUCUCCCUGCAGCCUUGUCUGUAAAUUGCCUUGUGCUUUCUUACAUUUCAUUUCAUCUCUUAUUUCACUUUUAUUUCUUUUUUUUCUUUUUACGACACCCUCAAUUAUUCAUCUUCUCUCUUUCUUUCCUGUCCAAUUUCUUUCCAUCUGGUGGCAAUGAUGAUUUAUUCACCUCUUCUUCUUCUUCCUCUUCUUCUUCUUCUCUACUGCUGCUCGUCUCCUAAUUGCUUCUUAAGAGCACUAAGUGCGUACAUGUGUACGCGCAUGCAAGCACACACCCGCCUGGCCCCCGUUGCUUCUCCUUGGAGCACAUUGUACACAUAUGAUAGCAUUAGAAUCACCCAAAGAGCACAAACCAUGUGUGUUUAUGCAUGUGUGUGUGUGUGUGUGUGUGUAUGGUUUUCCUUUUGGUGCAUGUAAAAGCCAGUGAGCGGUUGAAGGCCGUAAAUGUUGUGCGGUCGAUAAAAAUGAGACCAAGCGCAUCGAGGGAUGAGUGUGAGUGUGUGUGUUGUGUGUGUGUGUGUGUGUUGUGUGUGUGUGUGUGUGUGUGUCUGUCUGUCUGUCUCUCUCAGGUUUUUAGUAGAGAUAUUUUGUGGCUAGCACCGGCAGUCAUCCACAGUCAUUUGAAUGUAAAGUGUUCCCUCGCGAUAUUGCAGUUCACCUAUUGCGGAUUCAGUGCAAUGCAGAUUUCAUAUUUAUAUCGUGCAUAAUUAGCCAUAUUGCAGAAUUUUAACCGUAUGCUGUAAUCUUUAUCUGGUCAAAUUAAUACUUCCUUGCCUAAACCGUGAGGAAUAGUAAUAAGAGUCUGGGAAGAGUCAUACAGCUUUAAAAUUAUGAAUCAAUAAUAAUAAUUUCAAAAAUUUGUUUGCUACUUCGAUAAACAAUAAAGCAAUAAACGAGAGAUUACUGUAUUUAUUUAUCCAUAAAACAAUGCUAUGCUGUUUUUAACCAAAAUGCUAACACUAUGCUACGAAAGCAAGGCCUGGUGGGACUGGCAAGGUUGGCCAGCUAUGCUAACGAGGCGAGCUAUAAGCUCUCCCGGUCAUGAUGUUUGUAUAAGCAGAUUGCUUUGUGUUUGGAAUUAAGAAAUAGAAAUACUCUUCAAACAAAUCAAAUUUAGACAAAUCCAUGAUAAAACUGCCACCUUGCACAAAAGAAAUAAUCCACAAAGUAAAAUUAAAGCCGCUCCUCUCGCCAGUUGUUCAUGAAAACCGCCACCUUGCAUGAUGGAAAUACACAGAACUAGAAAUAAUCCACAAAGUAAAAAAUGUCCAAGGCAUGAUCAGUCACAAUAUACAUGGCAUAAUGCAAUGGCUCCUCUCGCCAUUUAGUCAUGAUGAAACCACCACUUUGCACAAUAGCGAUAAACACAACAACCAGAAAUAAUCCACAAAGUCAAAAACGUCCACAACACGAUUGGUCAAGCACAAAGAACAGUGUGAUUGCGCUGGCACAAUGCAGGCCUAAUAACUAAAGUGACAGUUCCUCUCGUCAGUUAUUCAUGACAAAACCCCCACCCUUGCAAAACAGAAAAACAGAAGGACUCGAAUUAAUCCAAAGAAGUCAGACUUGAUCACACAUGUACACCUGCAAUGUUGUUGUCACAUAACUAAAUGUGAUGCCUCUUCUCGCCAGUUAUUCAAGACAAAAGUGCCACCUUGUACAACAGAAAUAAACACAGCGACUCAGAACAAUCGACAAAGUUAAAAAAAAAAAAGCCCACUGCAUGCUUGAUCACAUGCGCAGGCACAAUAUACGUGACAAAACUAUUGUGAUUGUUCCUCUAGCUAGUUUUUUAUGAUAAUCGCCACCUUGCACAACAGAAAUAAACAGAACGAAAUAAUCCACAAUGUCAAAAAGCUCCACAAAAUGCUUGGUCUUGCACAGGUAUACACAAUCAGUGCAAUUGCUCCCCUCCCAAAUUAGUCACAAUAAAAGUGGUACCUUGCACAAUAGAAAUAAACAACGGUGAGAGGCAAUCCAAAAAGUAAAAAAAAAAAAAAAAGAAAAAAAGUGCAUGGCCAUGAUAUUCGCCAGUUAUUCAUAAAACCUGCCACCACCUUGAACAUUAGAAAUAAUCCAGACAGUCAAAAAAGUCCACAACACACUUUGGUCAUGCACAGGGAAAAUGAUAAACGUGAUUGCUCCACUUGCCAGUUAUUGAACUGUUAUGUAACUGCUACACUGCACGAUACAAAUAAACGACGUCCAAGUCAAAAUAGUCCAUGACAUGCUCUGUCACAUACAUAGGCAUAGGUACAAUGUACCAGGCAUAAUGCGAUGGCUCCGCUCACCAGUUAGUCAUCGUAACCACCACCAGCGACCGAAGGGGCGCAGGUUCUAAUCCCGGCUCCCACAGUCUGCAUGUCAAAGUGUCCUUGGGCAAGACACUGAACCCUUAAUUUGCUCCCAGUGGGCCUGCCAGCAUGUUGCAUGGCAGCAGCUCUCCAUUGGUGUAUGACUGUGUGUGUGUGAAUGGGUGAAUAUGAGGCUUUGUAAAGCACUUUGGGCACUGUGAUGGUGUAGAUAAAGCGUUAUAUACAGUAAGUGCAGUCCAUUUACCAUUUAUAAAUCAGCAGAACGAUUCGGAACAAUCCACACAGUCAAGAAAGAAUUCAACAGCAGCUCAGCAACAAUGUACAUGUCAAAAUGCGAUGGCUCCUCUAAACAGUUAUUCACGAUGAAACCACCGCCUUGAAGGGUAGAAAUAAACACAAAAGGGCCAGAAAUAAUCCACAAAGUGGAGGCCAGCAGGAGACAGGACAGAGAGGGUUGCCAACCAUUUAAAGAGGAAAAGCAGCAUUGAUUAAAGUGAAAUGUGUGCGUCAGUCCUGCUUACAUUGUGUGCGUGCGUGCACAUUCCCAGACAAUGCGGCAUCCCCAUCAUUAGCCACAUACACCGAGCGCGACCUGGCCCGCCGUGCAAGCAGAUGAGUCAUUAUCCAAAUAAGCGCCGCGCUCAGUCAGCAGCAACCGCCGCGCCGUUACUUCCUCUUCAAUAAGAAUCGGCGAUGUGAGCGCUCCGCUCAGGCGGAACCAGAUGAUGAGAUUCCAGAGGAGAGAGAAUAAAUGAAGGAAAAAAGAAAAGCAAAAACAAGCUCGGCGAACAAAACUUGGAAGAAGCGAGAGUCAGACAUGAAAUGUUCUAGAGGGGAUAAGUGGAUGAUGGGAAGUUGUAUGCGGGUCGCGGGCUGCUGGAGCCUAUCCCAGCUAUCUUCGGGCGAGAGGCGAGGUACACCCUGAACUGGUCACAUUCACACCUACGGGCAAUUUAGAGUCUUCAAUCAACCUACCAUGCAUGUUUUUGGGAUGUGGGAGGAAACCGGCAUGCCCGGAGAAAACCCACGCAGGCACGGGGAGAACAUGCAAACUCCACACAGGCGGGACCGAAAUUUGAAUCGCUGUCCCCAGAACUUUGAGGCAGACGUGCUAACCAGUCGUGCCGGCCAAUUACAUAUAAUUAAUUUUAAAUAAUUACAUUUGAUAAAUAACAUUUUAUGUUAAAUGUACACAAAAUAAUAUUUUAUGAACGUCAUUUUUUGCUAGAACUAAAACAAUUUUUUAUGUUUCACCUUUUAAGAAGUUAACAAGUCACUCAGGUGUACGACUUCUGCUGCAGAUUUGCUCUCGCAUGCAGAUCAGGUUACCAUACGUGUCUGUAUCGUGCUGUUUUUAGGCCAAGACUGUGUAAAAAAAGAUGUAACCACUUCACUUAUUUACACGGAUGCUCUCUUGACGAAUUUGUUUACUAUUGAGGCAGACAUGAGCAGCCGUCAGGAGCUUAGCUUAGCCUGGCUGAACUCUGCGACACGGUUUCCACCUUUAGCACUAACAUUACACACACAAACACACAUUGUGAGUGAUUGACAUGCCUCCAGACUGAAAAAGGAUGAGUACAAAUAGAGCGAUGGUGUGUUCUGGGCAGGGGGGUGGAGGGCAGAGGCAUGGAAGCACAGCCCGGAAACAAAUCCAAACGGACAGCGGAGCGCCAAACAGAAAAGACAGACAGACAGGCUGGCUGGGUGAAUGGAUGGAGAGACCGUUUGGUCAAGUGUCCUCGGCUACUCCUGGAAAAAAAAAUAAAAAAAUAGAAGACGCCAACAGGUGCUGCCAAAGGAACAACCCCAAAUGUUUUACGUGCCGUGUUUCGGGUUUGAUCAUCAUCACCGACAGUGGAAAUUUUGUCAGAUUUGAUAUAAUUUUGUAUAUAUACUUUAUUUUACUUACUUUACAUUAUGUGACUUUGUACAUCUAUUUUACACUAUAUUGCCAAAAUUAUUCACUCACCUGCCUUGACUCACCUAUGAUUUUAAGUGAUAUCCCAUUCUAAAUCCAUAUGGUUUAAUAUGAUGUUGGUCUACCCUUUGCAGCUAUAACAGCUUCAACUAUUGUGGGAAGGCUUUCAACAAGGUUUAGGAGUGGCUUUAUGGGAAUUUUUGCCAAGUCUUCCAGGAGCAUAUUUGUGAGGUCAUACACUGAUGUUGGACGAGAAGGCCUGGGUCACUGUCCACUCGAAAUCGACCCAAAGACGUUCUAUCGGGUUGAGGUCAGGACUCUGUGCAGGCCAGUCAAGAUCUUUCAUACCAAAUUCUCUCAUUCAUGUCUUUUUGGACCUUGCUUUUUGCGCUGGUGCACAGACAUGUUGAACCAGGAAGGGGUAAUCCCCAAACUGUUUACCUGUCCAAAAUCUCUUGGUAUGCUGAAGCAUUCAGAGUUCCUUUCACUGGAGCUCAGCGGCCAAUAUUUUGGACUUUUACAACUUUGUGGAAAAAGUUUGGAGAUGGCCUGUUCCAACAUGACUGUGCAUCAGUUACAACAUGACUGUGCAUCAGUGCACAAAUCAAGGUUCAUAAAGACAACAAUGAGAGAUUUUGAUGUGGAUGAACUUGACUGGCCUGUACAAUCCUGAUCUCAACCCUAUAGAACACUUUUGGAUGAAUUAGACCGGAGACUGCGAGCCAGGCCUUCUCAUCCAACAUCAGUGUGUAACCUUACAAAUGCGCUUUUGGAAAGAUUGUCUUAAAUUCCCAUAAAUACACUCCUAAACCUUGUGGAAACCCUUUCCCAAAGAGUUUAAGAUGUUACAACUGCAGAGGGUGGACCGAUGUCAUAUUAAACCAUAUGGAUUAAGAAUGGAAUGCCACUUAUAUUCAUAUCUGAGUCAAAGCAGGUGAGCGAAUACUUUUGGCAAUAUAGUGUAUAUUACAAUGGUCUUAUAUUUUGUAUUAUUUCAUGCAUUCAUAAUUAUUUUCUUCAUUAUGUUUAGAAUUAUUAUUCCUUUUUAUUUUUUGUAACACAUACUCCAAUUACUAAAAAAAUUACCAAUGCAAUAUUACAUGAUUAAUAUAAAAUAUUAUACAGUAUUUGUAAGGUUUUUUACAGUUUGUAUUAUGUUUUAUAUUUGCAUAGUUAUACUGCAUUUAUUUUUUAUUAUUAAAAAAACACAAAUAAACGUAUGUUGUUUUUUGAGGGAGGAAGGAACAGAUUAAUGGCAUUUCCAUCCAUUUGAAUGGGAAAAGAUGAUUUGAGAUAUGAGCUUUUUUAAGUUGUGAAUAUGGUCACAGAAUGAAUUAAGGUCAUAUCUAAAGGCACAUAUGUAUUUAUUUUAUUUUUUAUUAUUAUUUUGAUUUAUUUUUUAUUAUUUUUUUCUAUAUCCUUUUUAAAACAUGUCACCAAUUAGACCAACACAAUAUUAGAUUUGUUUUUCUACAAGAAUAAUACUAAAUGCCCAUUUUCUGGAGCAUAAGCCUUCAUAAAGAACAUUUUAUUUCACAUGUACCAAAAAUAUUUUUUUAAGAUUGUGUAUA